GACGAACGCUGGCGGCGGGCUUAACACAUGCAAGUCGAACGAAGUGGCGAAAGGGUGAGUAAUCCGUGGGAAACCUGCCCUCCUUUUUGGGAUAAACAUUUGAAACGGGGUCUAAUACCGAAUAAAGGGGGUGGGGCUCGGGGCCUAUCAGCUUGUUGGUGGGGUGAUGGCCUACCAAGGCGGUGACGGGUAGCCGGCAUGAGAGGGUGACCGGCCACAUUGGGACUGAGAUACGGCCCAGACUCCUACGGGAGGCAGCAGUGGGGGCUAUUGCACAAUGGGCGAAAGCCUGAUGCAGCGAGGCUGCGUGGGGGAUGAAGGCUUUCGUGUUGUAAAACUCUUUUGCUAGCGAACGGGUAGGUGGAGAAGAAGCGCCGGCUAACUACGUGCCAGCAGCCGCGGUAAUAC
Molecule: ribosomal RNA, 408 nt
Filed under: uncultured bacterium
Lineage: Bacteria
Description: partial 16S ribosomal RNA
Rfam family: Bacterial small subunit ribosomal RNA
Source: RNAcentral